UGGGGAAUUUUGCACAAUGGGGGAAACCCUGAUGCAGCGACGCCGCGUGAUUUAGAAGGCCUACGGGCUGUAAAAAUCUUUUCUAUGGGAAGAAAAUGACAGUACCAUAGGAAUAAGGACCGGCUAAUUACGUGCCAGCAGCCGCGGUAAUACGUAAGGUCCGAGCGUUGUCCGGAAUCAAUGGGCGUAAAGGGUACGUAGGCGGGUAAGCAAGUUAGAAGUGAAAUCCUAUAGCUCAACUAUAGUAAGCUUUUAAAACUGCUCAUCUUGAGGUAUGGAAGGGAAAGUGGAAUUCCUAGUGUAGCGGUGAAAUGCGCAGAUAUUAGGAGGAAUACCGGUGGCGAAGGCGACUUUCUGGCCAUAACCUGACGCUGAGGUACGAAAGCGUGGGUAGCAAACAGG
This 402-nucleotide ribosomal RNA is filed under the name bacterium. RNAcentral describes it as "partial 16S ribosomal RNA". It matches the Rfam family "Bacterial small subunit ribosomal RNA", at positions 355 to 776 of the family's 1533-position model. The record is from RNAcentral.